Molecule: long non-coding RNA, 813 nt
Filed under: Oreochromis niloticus (Nile tilapia)
Lineage: Eukaryota; Metazoa; Chordata; Actinopteri; Cichliformes; Cichlidae
Description: lncRNA (ENSONIG00000023744.2)
Source: RNAcentral
CUAUAAAGUGUAAUAGCUGUCAGAUGUGAUUUAAAUGCAUAACAACGGCAUACACACAAGCACUUGCAUACACAUUUAAGACAUGAGACACGCUAAUUCCAUCUCUUAAAAUGUGUCUAUAGGUGAGACGCUUUGCCUUGAUUGGAGGGACCACACUGGAGGUGCGAGUCCGCCGUGUAAUGGCUUAUGCCAUCACAAACGAGCUGGCCUCGGUACUAAACUGGGCAGGGAAAAAAACAAAGGACCAGACGAAGCAAAAAAGGGGAUUUAAAGAUACUGCGCUGUGCAGAUGCAUAUUUGAUGGCCUGACGCAGCAGUUAGGGGCAAACUCUAUGUCAGAGUUUGUCUUUGCACAGGCAGUGCAGAAAUGGCUCCGAUACGCCCCAGACCGCUUGGGUGGCGCAGGACGCACAUCAUCCGUCCCCAUCCCGGAGUAAAAACUACAAAGUUAUGUUAAAAUAUAAAUGUAAAUAGAAAACUGUGUUUUAAUAAAGUAUUUAGCAAACGAAACAUGUCUAUUGACCUUUUUUUGUUUAGUUUUUUUUUUCUCUGUUACAUCACAUGCAAUGCUUUCUUAUUUUAGGAUAUUAAUAUUGACAUGAUACAUUGUGAGAAAUUUGAUUUUUAUAAAGGGUGUCCAGUUUGAGGAAUAAGUGCAAUUAUGUGUUUAGGUGGUUUAAGUAUUGAUGGAAAUAUGCAGUAGUUUAGUAUUGGUUAAAAUAACUAUAAAGAAAGGUAGAUUUCCAGUCAUGAUUUAACUUGUUUUAAUAAAAAACAACUGUGCGAAAGAGGUGGAAAAUCAACACCAUAGCU